This 232-nucleotide long non-coding RNA is filed under the name Homo sapiens (human). RNAcentral describes it as "HSALNT0189002". The record is from RNAcentral. Lineage: Eukaryota; Metazoa; Chordata; Mammalia; Primates; Hominidae.
UUUUCUUUGGCCUCAGGAGUUCUUACUGGCUUCUCUGGUGGUUCUGGAUUAGGAGAGACCUCUAGGGAGGUCCUAGGACUUGCAGUCCCAGUCCCCAAGGAGGCCCUAGGGCUGGUGGGUAUGUUCCCUGAGGAGGGCCUGGGGCUUGCAGUGGCUCUGGGUGGAGGAGGCCUACUAGGGGGUGCUGAGGUCCUCUGGAUAGAGGCUCUCUUCUUUGGUUGUUCAGAUCCUU